This 1029-nucleotide long non-coding RNA is filed under the name Papio anubis (olive baboon). RNAcentral's name for it is "lncRNA (ENSPANG00000045755.1)". The record is from RNAcentral. Lineage: Eukaryota; Metazoa; Chordata; Mammalia; Primates; Cercopithecidae.
AUGACACCCUCACGUACAGGAGGUUGGUCCUUCAGGACCCGCAGCCCCUCACACGGGCUCUGGGGCCGAAUGCUGAUGCGAGUCCCGCCAGCAUCCGCACGACCUGAGCCGCUGGCCCGGUCCGCAGAUCCCCUCUCUGCACGGAUCACUCCCGAUCUCGCUCACUCCUGCGAUCCCUCAAGCCGGGCAGCGCAGCCCUGGGCCUCUCCGAACCUUCCCCACGUUCCCGGCCUCCAUCACAGCAGCGCCGCGCCCGGGCCCCUCUGCGGGCCGUCUGGGUGUCAAGACCGCUUCUGGGCAGCCCCCACUUCUGCACACCACUUCCCUCCGCACUCACGCCCCAGGCCCCUCGGUUCCCUCGCCGGGACGCCCCUCGCCCAGCACCUCCGCCCAGCCCUUCCCGCGCCUCCUCGCGGUAAAUAUCCCUCCUCGGGCCCCCUUCCUCGCUCCUGCCUCCAUGCCAUGCCCCCUCGGCCCCUGGGCUCCCACACCUCACCCUUCCGAAUCCUGCCAUUGCCCCCCGCGGGCCCCCGCGAAUUCCCCCGCUCCCCUCACCCCACCCAUCUGCCUCAGACUCCUCCCCACAUCUCUCACACCCCAGGCCUCUCACCUCACUCAUUCUCCCAGGCCUCCCUGACACCCCUCACUUCUACCCCCCGAGCCCCCGUGCCGUCUGCUACACCCCGAGCCCCUCACCUCACUCAACUGCCCCGGGCCCCCGCGCGCGCCGCCGCCCCCUUCCGCCCUCCACUCACCCCGUGUCGGCCCCGCUCCCCUCUCCCCCACCAGGCGAGCAGGCGAGCGGGCAGAGCCCGCGGCGGAGGCCGGUCCCCGGGCCGGGACACACCCACUCGCCCGCCCUUCUUCUUUCCCUCCCUUCCUUUCUCCUUCCCUCCCUCUCUCCCGCCCUCCCGCCCUCGCUCGCUCCUUCCCCCUCGCCCUCCCGCUCCCGCUUCCAGCGGCGCCGGGCCUCCCGCUCCGCCUCCCCGUGCGCUGCUCUCCCGGGCGCGGCUCCGGGGUUCAUGGUGA